AGCGAACGCUGGCGGCGUGCCUAACACAUGCAAGUCGAACGUGAAAAGGGAAACCUGAGUAAAGUGGCGUACGGGUGAGUAACGCGUAGGUAAUCUACCCCAGAAUCUGGAAUAACCUGCCGAAAGGCGGGCUAAUACUGGAUAGAGCGAGGGAACUCGUAAGAGAGUUUUUCGGGAAAGGGAGCCCGCAAGGGCCUUCGUUCUGGGAUGAGCCUGCGUCUCAUUAGCUAGUUGGUAAGGUAACGGCUUACCAAGGCGAUGAUGAGUAGCUGGUCUGAGAGGAUGAUCAGCCACACUGGAACUGAAACACGGUCCAGACUCCUACGGGAGGCAGCAAUGGGGAAUCUUGCGCAAUGGACGAAAGUCUGACGCAGCCACGCCGCGUGAGUGAAGAAGGCCUUCGGGUUGUAAAGCUCUGUCGGAUGGGACGAACAUCUUCAUAGUGAAUAGCUAUGAGGACUGACGGUACCAUCAAAGGAAGCACCGGCUAACUCCGUG
RNAcentral lists this ribosomal RNA (498 nucleotides) under uncultured bacterium. Its description in RNAcentral is "partial 16S ribosomal RNA". It matches the Rfam family "Bacterial small subunit ribosomal RNA", at positions 29 to 507 of the family's 1533-position model. The record is from RNAcentral.